This 563-nucleotide long non-coding RNA is filed under the name Physcomitrium patens. Its description in RNAcentral is "long non-coding RNA (PPAT_LNC006566)". Lineage: Eukaryota; Viridiplantae; Streptophyta; Bryopsida; Funariales; Funariaceae. The record is from RNAcentral.
UCGUAUGGGAUGAAAAAGCUCCGUCGACUGGACCAAUUCAAAAAGACAGAUAGGCAGAGGUAUUAGGGGAGGGGAGAUCGGAGAGCCGAAUAAAAAGAGGCAGACCUACGAAGGAAUUUUAGGGGGAGAGAGGUGAUUUCAUAUUUUUUGGAUCAGUAUUGGAUUUUGAGGGAUUUUCAAAGCUAGUGAUGUUCUUUGUGAUUUUAGAUUUUUGAAAAAUAAAACUGGUUUACAAAUUUUUAGAUUUCGUGAUUUUUGUAGCAUUUUUAUGGAUAAAAAUUUAGAGACUUAUUGGUAUGCUUGUUGUGAAUGUGUACAAGAGGUUUGAAGUCAAUCGAAUGGCUAGAUCGAUACAUAUGAAGGUUUUGUAAGCUAAGAUCUUGGAAUUUAGGAUUUUGAAGACCAAUAAGGUUUUCUUAGAUAUCUAGCAAUUUGUCAGUUGGAUUGGAGAGAUUUUUAGUUUUAUCACUAGAAGACUUGAUUUUCUAUAUGCAAGUAAAAUUUGGAAGCAAUCGAAUGGUGGAAAAAAGAGAUAUCGGCAUUGGAAGUUUGGCAUUAGAUUG